This 27-nucleotide non-coding RNA is filed under the name Rattus norvegicus (Norway rat). Lineage: Eukaryota; Metazoa; Chordata; Mammalia; Rodentia; Muridae. The record is from RNAcentral.
UGGAACUCUGGUUAGAGCUGUCUUCAG